This is a long non-coding RNA of Liolophura sinensis, 310 nucleotides long. RefSeq lists it as uncharacterized. The transcript has 4 exons. The record is from RefSeq and is a predicted model, not a curated record. NCBI's taxonomy places the organism in Eukaryota, Metazoa, Mollusca, Polyplacophora, Chitonida, Chitonidae.
GGAAAAGUUACUUUCGGUUUGGACGACGAAGGCCAAGAGGAAGACCUACAAUUAAGAAGCAGUGCGGAUUAUCGACGACUUAAUGAAUGUCAAUGACUGCUGAUUCUAUCAUGGCUACUUCUGCUUCAGGAGUGGACGGUUGUCAUGAGAGAUCCCAAAGAGAGACACAUGACUUUUAUGAACUUUUGAAGGAACACACAGAGGAGUUAACAAAGCUGCAGACUACAGAGAAUGGAGGUGAGAGAAAGGAAAUAACAGAUACUUUGUGUACCCAUGUGGAGCCAUUUAAAAAAUACUUGGAAGUGAUGAC